CGGGCAUGGUGGUGCGCGCCUGUAAUCCAGCUACUGAGGGGGCUGAGGCAUGAGAAUCGCUUGAACCUGGGAGGUGGAGUUUGCAGUGACCGGAGAUCAUGCCACUGCACUCCAGCCUGGAUGACAGAGCAAGACUCCGUCUCAAAAACAACAAAAACAACAACCACAGCAACAACCACAGUUCUUAGAAAAGCAUUUUAAGGUAAAGGUAACCUUCUGAUUUCAAUUGCCCGUUUGGAUCAACCAUCAGACCCAGUCAUGGAGAGGACGCAGAAAAUGGAAUCUAGGAAAGAAUGAGCCAGGAUCUUGUGGACCGAGCUGAAGCGUGAAUCUUCCUCGCCAGAAACACCCCAGCAACCAAUUACCCUGGACGUGACGCCGAGGCCCACCUAGUGGUCAGCCAUCUGCCUAGGCAGACAAUAAAGC
This 426-nucleotide long non-coding RNA is filed under the name Homo sapiens (human). RNAcentral's name for it is "non-protein coding lnc-ABLIM1-4:1". The record is from RNAcentral. Lineage: Eukaryota; Metazoa; Chordata; Mammalia; Primates; Hominidae.